This 253-nucleotide ribosomal RNA is filed under the name uncultured bacterium. Its description in RNAcentral is "partial 16S ribosomal RNA". It matches the Rfam family "Bacterial small subunit ribosomal RNA", at positions 524 to 776 of the family's 1533-position model. The record is from RNAcentral.
UACGGAGGGGGCAAGCGUUGUUCGGAAUCAUUGGGCGUAAAGAGUAUGUAGGCGGCUAUUUAAGUCAGGCGUGCAAGCCCACGGCUCAACCGUGGAAUUGCGUCUGAAACUAUUUAGCUUGAGUUCAGGAGAGGAAGGCGGAAUUCCCAGUGUAGCGGUGAAAUGCAUUGAUAUUGGGAAGAACACCGGUGGCGAAGGCGGCCUUCUGGUCUGAUACUGACGCUGAGGGACGAAAGCGUGGGUAGCAAACCGG